UACAGAGGGUGCAAGCGUUAAUCGGAAUUACUGGGCGUAAAGCGUGCGUAGACGGUUACAUAAGUCGGGUGUGAAAGCCCCGGGCUCAACCUGGGAAUUGCAUUCGAGACUGCGUAGCUAGGGUGCGGAAGAGGGAAGCGGAAUUUCCGGUGUAGCGGUGAAAUGCGUAGAUAUCGGAAGGAACACCAGUGGCGAAAGCGGCUUCCUGGUCCAGCACCGACGUUCAGGCACGAAAGCGUGGGGAGCAAACAGG
Molecule: ribosomal RNA, 253 nt
Filed under: Acidibacter sp.
Lineage: Bacteria; Pseudomonadati; Pseudomonadota; Gammaproteobacteria
Also listed under: 3 other names
Description: partial 16S ribosomal RNA
Rfam family: Bacterial small subunit ribosomal RNA
Source: RNAcentral